Molecule: ribosomal RNA, 230 nt
Filed under: uncultured microorganism
Description: partial 16S ribosomal RNA
Rfam family: Bacterial small subunit ribosomal RNA
Source: RNAcentral
UACGUAGGGGGCAAGCGUUAUCCGGAAUUACUGGGUGUAAAGGGUGCGUAGGCGGUACUGUAAGUCCGAUGUGAAAGCCCGGAGCUCAACUCCGGGAUUGCAUUAGAAACUACAGAACUAGAGUACAGGAGAGGAAGGCGGAAUUCCUAGUGUAGCGGUGAAAUGCGUAGAUAUUAGGAGGAACACCAGUGGCGAAGGCGGCCUUCUGGACUGUAACUGACGCUGAGGCA